Long non-coding RNA from Drosophila mojavensis, 599 nucleotides. RefSeq lists it as uncharacterized. Lineage: Eukaryota; Metazoa; Arthropoda; Insecta; Diptera; Drosophilidae. The transcript has 2 exons. The record is from RefSeq and is a predicted model, not a curated record.
AAGAACCCAACACAGCGUCCCCCAAUCACUAGUACUCUAGUAUGGGAGCGCUUAACUGGCGCCCGAGCAGGGACCCACAUUCUUCACGGAAAUAAAGGGAAAUGGUGACGUGUCAAUAAUUCUAUAAAAAUAACUUAUUAAAAAAGCAAGUACAAAUAAAUUGUUCCAAACCAAUUGGGUAAUUGUUGGCAAAAUUACGAAGUACUUCUGCGAUUUGCAAACAAGUGUUGGUGCACUAGAUAAUUCUAUAACAUAAAAGAAAUCGUGGCUAAAUGGUGGUAUUGGCAAUACCUAGGUUCAAAUCCGUGCCGAGACGAGUCUUAAAACGAAAAUACAAGAAAUUUGCAGGCAUAAUGGUGGUACGAGAUUGAUUCUCGUAUCGAGGUUCAAAUCCUUGCCGUAAGACAAAUGUCAUAAAAAAUAAACGUCACAAUUUCCACCUGUGUUGAAUGAUGGGUUUCCGUAUAAAUUAAAAGAAACCUAGUGGUCAAAGUUAAGUUUAAAGCACUAACUAUAUAACAAAAUUAAAAGGCGGUUGUCUGGAAAUCUCUAAUCAACAAGCAAAGCAUAAAUAUGCAAAAAUAAAAACAUGAAUUGCA